GAUGAACGCUGGCGGCGUGCCUAAUACAUGCAAGUCGAGCGAACAGACGAGGAGCUUGCUCCUCUGACGUUAGCGGCGGACGGGUGAGUAACACGUGGAUAACCUACCUAUAAGACUGGGAUAACUUCGGGAAACCGGAGCUAAUACCGGAUAACAUGUUGAACCGCAUGGUUCAACAGUGAAAGACGGUCUUGCUGUCACUUAUAGAUGGAUCCGCGCCGCAUUAGCUAGUUGGUAAGGUAACGGCUUACCAAGGCAACGAUGCGUAGCCGACCUGAGAGGGUGAUCGGCCACACUGGAACUGAGACACGGUCCAGACUCCUACGGGAGGCAGCAGUAGGGAAUAUUCCGCAAUGGGCGAAAGCCUGACGGAGCAACGCCGCGUGAGUGAAGAAGGUCUUCGGAUCGUAAAACUCUGUUAUUAGGGAAGAACAAAUGUGUAAGUAACUAUGCACGUCUUGACGGUACCUAAACAGAAAGCCACGGCUAACUACGUG
Molecule: ribosomal RNA, 497 nt
Filed under: uncultured bacterium
Lineage: Bacteria
Description: partial 16S ribosomal RNA
Rfam family: Bacterial small subunit ribosomal RNA
Source: RNAcentral